UGCAGUGUUUUUCCUCUAGUUCAUGCUGACUGAAAUGACAAGCUGUUUUAUCGAAAAUGACUCUGUAGCUUCAAUCAGUCUGUCUGAAUUAUCCAGCUCAUCAUCGGUGUCUGAUAGAGCAUGUGUUCACUGGGGUUGUGUGCUCAGUGGCUCUGAGACCACAGCUGUCUUUCAAGCAGAAAAUGACCUUCUGGAGAACCAGUUUUUCAUCAAA
Molecule: long non-coding RNA, 214 nt
Organism: Sinocyclocheilus grahami
Lineage: Eukaryota; Metazoa; Chordata; Actinopteri; Cypriniformes; Cyprinidae
Exons: 3
Source: RefSeq, a predicted model, not a curated record